GAACGCUGGCGGCAGGCCUAACACAUGCAAGUCGAGCGGUAGCACAGAGAGCUUGCUCUCGGGUGACGAGCGGCGGACGGGUGAGUAAUGUCUGGGAAACUGCCUGAUGGAGGGGGAUAACUACUGGAAACGGUAGCUAAUACCGCAUAAUGUCGCAAGACCAAAGUGGGGGACCUUCGGGCCUCAUGCCAUCAGAUGUGCCCAGAUGGGAUUAGCUAGUAGGUGGGGUAACGGCUCACCUAGGCGACGAUCCCUAGCUGGUCUGAGAGGAUGACCAGCCACACUGGAACUGAGACACGGUCCAGACUCCUACGGGAGGCAGCAGUGGGGAAUAUUGCACAAUGGGCGCAAGCCUGAUGCAGCCAUGCCGCGUGUGUGAAGAAGGCCUUCGGGUUGUAAAGCACUUUCAGCGGGGAGGAAGGCGAUGAGGUUAAUAACCUUGUCGAUUGACGUUACCCGCAGAAGAAGCACCGGCUAACUCCGUGCCAGCAGCCGCGGUAAUACGGAGGGUGCAAGCGUUAAUCGGAAUUACUGGGCGUAAAGCGCACGCAGGCGGUCUGUCAAGUCGGAUGUGAAAUCCCCGGGCUCAACCUGGGAACUGCAUUCGAAACUGGCAGGCUAGAGUCUUGUAGAGGGGGGUAGAAUUCCAGGUGUAGCGGUGAAAUGCGUAGAGAUCUGGAGGAAUACCGGUGGCGAAGGCGGCCCCCUGGACAAAGACUGACGCUCAGGUGCGAAAGCGUGGGGAGCAAACAGGAUUAGAUACCCUGGUAGUCCACGCCGUAAACGAUGUCGAUUUGGAGGUUGUGCCCUUGAGGCGUGGCUUCCGGAGCUAACGCGUUAAAUCGACCGCCUGGGGAGUACGGCCGCAAGGUUAAAACUCAAAUGAAUUGACGGGGGCCCG
RNAcentral lists this ribosomal RNA (901 nucleotides) under Klebsiella pneumoniae. RNAcentral's name for it is "bacterial SSU rRNA". It matches the Rfam family "Bacterial small subunit ribosomal RNA", at positions 31 to 923 of the family's 1533-position model. The record is from RNAcentral. Lineage: Bacteria; Pseudomonadati; Pseudomonadota; Gammaproteobacteria; Enterobacterales; Enterobacteriaceae.